ACAUAUGCGCAGUGGCAGUAUCAUAGCCAAUGAGGUUAAUCCGAGGUGCGAUUAUUGCUAACUGAAAAUAUUAAAAAGCAA
Small nuclear RNA from Rhineura floridana, 81 nucleotides. RefSeq annotates it as U4 spliceosomal RNA. The record is from RefSeq and is a predicted model, not a curated record. NCBI's taxonomy places the organism in Eukaryota, Metazoa, Chordata, Lepidosauria, Squamata, Rhineuridae. The transcript has a single exon.